This is a long non-coding RNA of Nematostella vectensis (starlet sea anemone), 510 nucleotides long. RefSeq lists it as uncharacterized. Lineage: Eukaryota; Metazoa; Cnidaria; Anthozoa; Actiniaria; Edwardsiidae. The record is from RefSeq and is a predicted model, not a curated record. The transcript is spliced from 2 exons.
AGCAAGUUCACGGGGAAAAAUACAACUGCAUUUUGUUUAGCAGAGCACGUAGCACGACGGAAACAUCUAGUUAUCAGAACCACAAACUGCGUACUUGGAAAUAGAAUCCAAAUUCCUGCAACAAGUCUAAAAAAAUGGAAUUUCUAUUUGUUUAUUUCUAGCUUUUAAUAUUUGCGAAAACGUUUCCAUCUUAUGCACGACGAGCUGUUUGUGGUUGUUAGAAAUAGGAUUACUGCAGGUUUUUCGAGUGGAUAGAGCAACAUACCACCAACACCUCUCAAAUAACGGACAAGUUACAAUAAUCAUCACGGAGGAAUUCCUAAAAAGUUUCAGGAGUGGCACAGAAUGGAUGUACUCAAAAAAUGGAGAAGAAGUGUUGUUCCAUUUCUACAAAGUUAAUUAUGAUAACAAAAGAAAUGUGGAAACGCCAUUGUGUGAGCAUCCAUUUUCCAUUUGACGCAACACAUGUAUGAAUUAAUAAAACACAGCUCCAAUAAAGAAUACAUCAUU